AUAAAAGAUUCAGCCUGGGAAAGAGUAGUGAUUGCUCUCCCGAGUCCAGGAGGUUGGCCCUGGCAUGGUACAAACAGGUUCAAAACAAAGGGCUGGAGACAUCUGUGAUGCUGACUCGAAUUUUUUGCUGGGGAUAACGUCUGUUCCAAAGUCCAGAAUUUCUCAGUGCCCCCAUCUGACAGCUCCAGCUUGGAGGCUUCUAAUACUAUUCAUUAAAGAUAGACUCUAAUGGCAACUCAGACAGGUCUCUUACAGAGGUAAGGGCCCUGCACCCCUCUUAGGGAGUCAUUGGGAUUUGGAAUUGCACUGGCUGGAGGCCCUUCCCAUGGAAUAGGAUUUGAUCCAUCCAAAUAAAUGGCUCUACAGGGUUAGCCUCACGGGCUUAGCCAUCUGUUUCCACGAUUACCAGGAGAUAGGUAUUCAGGAAGCCCCAAAGGGAAAAAAUGGCAGGCUGACUGCCCAGAAGACCAAAGAACCAGGAGAGUGUUCAUUCGGGUCUGGCUCUGGUGAUGAGCUUCAGGAGAUUCCUAGGGCAAUCCUGUCGAUGGUGGCAACUCAGUGUUCAUCCUGUGUCCGAAGCAUUACUGAAACUUUGAUACUACAAGAACCAUCCUUCCGCCUUACUUCUGAAGGCUUGGGCUGAACUACUCCUCAGAGAUCCACUGACAAGCCGGGGCCUGAGGACACUGGCCGUGGAGAAAGACAGGCCCAGAGAGAGCCUCAUCUUCUGGAAUAAUAGAGAAUGGAUACAGGAAGAGGAAGAUUAUUCAACUAUUUCUUGGUUGGGCACAUCAGUAGCUGAGAGACUCCUCUGACCAUGGUCAGCCUCAGGAAGUGAGUGCCAACAGCCUUGCAGAUGGGAACUCAACUCCUGAGUACCCAUGCCUGAAAAGACAUAAGUCCCGCUCCCACCGGCACCAGACCCCCUGCCCUCCCUCUACCCCAAUACUAGAACUCCAGACCUCACCCCUCCUCCCCAGAGACAUAUCAACAGGAAGUUAAGUCAGCUGGAACACUCUGUUCCCUUGACAUUUCUGUUUUAAUUCUGCAGCUGUGUUUAAGGCUUCAUGAAUGAUCUGUCUGGCACGGUCUGUUUGUCUGCCUGAUGCUUCUUCUCCCUGCACCAGGUCAUGAUUACCCUAAGGCUGGUAGAGCAAAACUAGAACUAGGGUUGGUAAGAAGGAAGUGGGAUGGUAAGAAAGGGCAUUAGGGACUGUAGUAUUAGCUGUUGAUGAGCUAAGGAGGAUGAUCUGAUUGCUCGCUCAGGGAGAAGGAAUUCCUAAAUCAUUAACAGUGUGCAUUGCCCAUAGCUCUCUUUCCUCACCCCCUUAUGGUAUUUAUCUCUACGUCACAUCAUAGUGAUGUAUGGGUGUGUCUUUUCUCCUCAGUAUUCUAUAGUGCCUACUUACAUGCCCUAUUCAUGCUUAUUCAUGUUCAGGAAGUAGUUGGUAAUUGAAGGAAUGAGCCUUCUCUCCUUCCUUUUAUCUCGUCAGCUUAUCACUUAAAAACAAAAACAAGCCAUAGCUUCCAAAUUCAACUUGGUCCUACUCAGGGUGGUAUUUCUUAAUUUCUUGUAGCUGCAAAUCACAGUUCUGUAUCCUUGCUUGCCAAUGUCUGUUUUGAUAUUCAUCUAGUUGGUUCUGAGACAUAUCAGAGCACUAUUUUGUUCUUUCCUGGCUGCUUUUUCUUCUACUGCCUCUCGUCGAAGUCUAGAGAGAAACUUAGAGAUCUUCAGUUUCUAAAGCCACUAAGAACCUAGAAGGAAAAUGGUGAUUAGUCUCUCCAAGUUCUUCUUCCUCAACAGACCCAAAAAGAGUCUUCUCCAUUCACUGGUCCAUCGGGAUCACAUGUGUGAAACAUCAAGGCUGGCUUUAAAGGACCACCCAGCAAAUGGCUUAUUGUUAGUUACACGAGCUGGAUAUGCUUUGUCAGUCACUCCGCUUGAAACCUAAGCAUGAGAGAACAUAGCUCACAAGACAGGUAUGGCCCCAUAUGUCUCCAUAAGCCCACAUCUAGAAAAUACAUAUGCAGAUUUUUCUGUUGACA
This is a long non-coding RNA of Macaca mulatta (Rhesus monkey), 2046 nucleotides long. RefSeq lists it as uncharacterized. The record is from RefSeq and is a predicted model, not a curated record. Lineage: Eukaryota; Metazoa; Chordata; Mammalia; Primates; Cercopithecidae.